Molecule: long non-coding RNA, 1426 nt
Organism: Alligator sinensis (Chinese alligator)
Lineage: Eukaryota; Metazoa; Chordata; Crocodylia; Alligatoridae
Exons: 6
Source: RefSeq, a predicted model, not a curated record
CGUCGCUACGAGGUUUGAACAUCGUGUAUAGAAACCGUGGAGUUUCUCUCUAAGGAGAACAGGGAGGAGACACCCUUCACAUGUGAUGAGGACAUGGCUGCUGCUUAUGAUGCUGCAGCCGAUCAGUAAGGUCUUGAAUUCAUAUGAUUUUCAAUCAGCCCUCUCAAGUUUUUAAUGGAUACCUAGCUCCUUUUCAACUAUAAAGCACAAGGUACUCUACAAAAAAGAAACUUUUCAGACAAACAAGUCUGUGAACUUCCCAAGUAGGAUGGAGAGAAAAAAACAGACAGGCUGAAGGAGCAACACAUGCAUAAGACCCAAUCCAAUGUGGCAUGUAGAAGGGUGAGGUGAAGCACAAAAAAUCCUGGUGUGGGCCCCAUCUCCAGAAAGAGACUGUAACUGCAUGAGAACCUAAAAGGAAAACAUGGAAGAUGCAAUAGGAAGAUGGGGAUGGUCUAGAGUCUCCCAGAUUUACUUUUCUUCCCAGGAAAAGGCGACAGACUUCUAGUAAUCGGUAACAGCCCUGCAAACCUGGAGCACAGACAGAAGUGAAAUUUUCGCCCUAUCUGGUCAGAGAAAGUGAUCUAUAGCCAUGACCAAACACAAGUGUACAGCUGCAGACUGCUUCAAAAAUGACCAACUGGAUGAAAAUCUGAACCCUCAUUGCAUGAGGGGUCAGAUGAAGACAUUUCAAAACAUAGCAUCUUCUGUAACUUGAAUCUGCGCUGCCCCCUAGCCUGUCACUGUUUUCAAAAUGGGAGGGGGGAAAGGGAGAAGAGGAAGUUCAGUCUGGGGGUUUUUGGCACCCGCCUCCAUGCCACGGAACCAACAGUAAACUUCUGUUUGGUCCGGGGGAUCAUUGUAACUCAGAACAGUUCCCGGAAAGCGUUCUGUUACAGCCAGGAGCUGCACUUCUGUCUGCACUCUUGAUUGUACUCAUGCAGGCAAGGAAAACAGAAUCAGAGAAGGCAGCCUCCAUGCUUGGCCAAAACAGUUCCCAUUACCAGUACCCUGAUAGUUGAAACAAACUACUUCCCAGUAUACCUGCAGGGUACAUGUUAUUCAUACUUUACUUGCUAUGCAAUUUCAAAUAACAAGUACAUUAAAGAAAAAUGCAAUCUGUUUUCUGACAACUUAAAAAUGCACAAAAUGUAAUAGUUUGUAACAGUGGGGCCUAAUAAUUUACCCGCGCUAACUAUUAGAUCAUAGCUGUGAAUUUUAUUUACUUGUUUUACACGCCCAAUUCAGUUGGUUGAAUUUUUUUUUCAAAAGCUACUUUUGAUCAAAAAUGUGGUUUUAGUUAAAAUGAAUGUAUUUUUUUAAAAGUCUUGUUUUCAAUUAAAUAUAUUGUUUUUCAAAAAGACAUCUAAAUGUAAAAUUCAGGAUGUAACAUGAGACACGUUGUUGUCAGUAAUUUUCCUUUCAA